GACGAACGCUGGCGGCGUGCUUAACACAUGCAAGUCGAACGGAAAGGCCCUGCUUUUGUGGGGUGCUCGAGUGGCGAACGGGUGAGUAACACGUGAGUAACCUGCCCUUGACUUUGGGAUAACUUCAGGAAACUGGGGCUAAUACCGGAUAGGAGCUCCUGCUGCAUGGUGGGGGUUGGAAAGUUUCGGCGGUUGGGGAUGGACUCGCGGCUUAUCAGCUUGUUGGUGGGGUAGUGGCUUACCAAGGCUUUGACGGGUAGCCGGCCUGAGAGGGUGACCGGCCACAUUGGGACUGAGAUACGGCCCAGACUCCUACGGGAGGCAGCAGUGGGGAAUAUUGCACAAUGGGCGGAAGCCUGAUGCAGCAACGCCGCGUGCGGGAUGACGGCCUUCGGGUUGUAAACCGCUUUCGCCUGUGACGAAGCGUGAGUGACGGUAAUGGGUAAAGAAGCACCGGCUAACUACGUGCCAGCAGCCGCGGUGAUACGUAGGGUGCGAGCGUUGUCCGGAUUUAUUGGGCGUAAAGGGCUCGUAGGUGGUUGAUCGCGUCGGAAGUGUAAUCUUGGGGCUUAACCCUGAGCGUGCUUUCGAUACGGGUUGACUUGAGGAAGGUAGGGGAGAAUGGAAUUCCUGGUGGAGCGGUGGAAUGCGCAGAUAUCAGGAGGAACACCAGUGGCGAAGGCGGUUCUCUGGGCCUUUCCUGACGCUGAGGAGCGAAAGCGUGGGGAGCGAACAGGCUUAGAUACCCUGGUAGUCCACGCUGUAAACGGUGGGUACUAGGUGUGGGGUCCAUUCCACGGGUUCCGUGCCGUAGCUAACGCUUUAAGUACCCCGCCUGGGGAGUACGGCCGCAAGGCUAAAACUCAAAGGAAUUGACGGGGCCCCGCACAAGCGGCGGAGCAUGCGGAUUAAUUCGAUGCAACGCGUAGAACCUUACCUGGGUUUGACAUGGAUCGGGAGUGCUCAGAGAUGGGUGUGCCUCUUUUGGGGUCGGUUCACAGGUGGUGCAUGGCUGUCGUCAGCUCGUGUCGUGAGAUGUUGGGUUAAGUCCCGCAACGAGCGCAACCCUUGUUCACUGUUGCCAGCACGUUAUGGUGGGGACUCAGUGGAGACCGCCGGGGUCAACUCGGAGGAAGGUGGGGAUGACGUCAAGUCAUCAUGCCCCUCAUGUCCAGGGCUUCACGCAUGCUACAAUGGCUGGUACAGAGAGUGGCGAGCCUGUGAGGGUGAGCGAAUCUCGGAAAGCCGGUCUCAGUUCGGAUUGGGGUCUGCAACUCGACCUCAUGAAGUCGGAGUCGCUAGUGAUCGCAGAUCAGCAACGCUGCGGUGAAUACGUUCCCGGGGCU
Molecule: ribosomal RNA, 1346 nt
Filed under: uncultured bacterium
Lineage: Bacteria
Description: partial 16S ribosomal RNA
Rfam family: Bacterial small subunit ribosomal RNA
Source: RNAcentral